RNAcentral lists this ribosomal RNA (253 nucleotides) under uncultured bacterium. RNAcentral's name for it is "partial 16S ribosomal RNA". It matches the Rfam family "Bacterial small subunit ribosomal RNA", at positions 524 to 776 of the family's 1533-position model. The record is from RNAcentral.
GACAGAGGGUGCAAACGUUGUUCGGAAUUACUGGGCGUAAAGGGCUCGUAGGCGGCCCACUAAGUCAGACGUGAAAUCCCUCGGCUUAACCGGGGAACUGCGUCUGAUACUGGAGGGCUUGAGUUUGGGAGAGGGAUGCGGAAUUCCAGGUGUAGCGGUGAAAUGCGUAGAUAUCUGGAGGAACACCGGUGGCGAAGGCGGCAUCCUGGACCAACACUGACGCUGAGGAGCGAAAGCCAGGGGGGCAAACGGG